RNAcentral lists this long non-coding RNA (360 nucleotides) under Mus pahari (shrew mouse). RNAcentral describes it as "lncRNA (MGP_PahariEiJ_G0006040.1)". The record is from RNAcentral. Lineage: Eukaryota; Metazoa; Chordata; Mammalia; Rodentia; Muridae.
CUUAGCAUGAUGGAAUUAUUGGGAGGUGCUCAAAGGGUGGAGGUUUGAGAACCCAGGAAGUUAUUGUUGGCUGCGUGCCCUUGAAAAUGCAUCUUUCAUGACUUCUUCUUGUCCCGUCCCCUUUCUGCUUCCUGUCAAUUUGCCCUCUCCCAUGAUGGUGCAAAUCACGUGAAAUUGUGAGCUGAAGUUGUGCUUGUCUGCAAGCCAAAACUCAGUCUGAUGGAUGUGCCCAGAAAGCUGAGAUCUAGGAGAAACUUGGUAUCCCUUAGUUGGCAGAUGGACCAGUUAAGAUUCAUUUGAUUGCACAUAAUAGAUACUCAAGUAAUGAUGUGUUGAGCAAUAAAGUGUGUGAUCAUUCUG